Molecule: ribosomal RNA, 461 nt
Filed under: uncultured bacterium
Lineage: Bacteria
Description: bacterial SSU rRNA
Rfam family: Bacterial small subunit ribosomal RNA
Source: RNAcentral
GGGCCCGCACAAGCAGCGGAGCAUGUGGUUUAAUUCGAAGCAACGCGAAGAACCUUACCUAGACUUGACAUCUCCUGAAUUACCCUUAAUCGGGGAAGUCCUUCGGGACAGGAAGACAGGUGGUGCAUGGUUGUCGUCAGCUCGUGUCGUGAGAUGUUGGGUUAAGUCCCGCAACGAGCGCAACCCUUAUUGUUAGUUGCUACCAUUAAGUUGAGCACUCUAGCAAGACUGCCCGGGUUAACCGGGAGGAAGGUGGGGAUGACGUCAAAUCAUCAUGCCCCUUAUGUCUAGGGCUACACACGUGCUACAAUGGCCGGUACAGAGAGAUGCUAAACCGUGAGGCAGCGCAAAACUUGAAAACCGGUCUCAGUUCGGAUUGUAGGCUGAAACUCGCCUAUAUGAAGCUGGAGUUGCUAGUAAUCGCGAAUCAGAAUGUCGCGGUGAAUACGUUCCCGGGCCUU